This 253-nucleotide ribosomal RNA is filed under the name uncultured bacterium. RNAcentral's name for it is "partial 16S ribosomal RNA". It matches the Rfam family "Bacterial small subunit ribosomal RNA", at positions 524 to 776 of the family's 1533-position model. The record is from RNAcentral.
UACGAAGGGGGCUAGCGUUGUUCGGAAUUACUGGGCGUAAAGCGCACGUAGGCGGCUUUGUAAGUUAGAGGUGAAAGCCCGGGGCUCAACUCCGGAACUGCCUUUAAGACUGCAUCGCUUGAAUCCGGGAGAGGUGAGUGGAAUUCCUGGUGUAGCGGUGAAAUGCGCAGAUAUCAGGAAGAACACCUAUGGCGAAGGCAGCUCUCUGGGCCGAUACUGACGCUGAGGAGCGAAAGCGUGGGGAGCGAACAGG